AAAGGUAAGCUACUAAGAGCGAAUGGUGGAUGCCUUGACUGGUAGAGGCGAUGAAGGACGUACUAGACUGCGAUAAGCUAGGUGGAGCUGUCAAGAAGCUUUGAUGCCUAGAUUUCCGAAUGGGGCAACCCAGUAUAUAGAGAUAUAUACUACCAUAAUGGAGCGAACGAGGGGAAUUGAAACAUCUUAGUACCCUCAGGAAAAGAAAUCAAACGAGAUUGCGUCAGUAGCGGCGAGCGAAAGCGUAAGAGGGCAAACCCAGUGCUUGCACUGGGGGUUG
RNAcentral lists this ribosomal RNA (280 nucleotides) under Campylobacter upsaliensis. RNAcentral describes it as "partial 23S ribosomal RNA". It matches the Rfam family "Bacterial large subunit ribosomal RNA", at positions 1 to 300 of the family's 2925-position model. Lineage: Bacteria; Pseudomonadati; Campylobacterota; Epsilonproteobacteria; Campylobacterales; Campylobacteraceae. The record is from RNAcentral.